This 2077-nucleotide long non-coding RNA is filed under the name Olea europaea subsp. europaea. Lineage: Eukaryota; Viridiplantae; Streptophyta; Magnoliopsida; Lamiales; Oleaceae. The record is from RNAcentral.
UUUGUUUUCAAAUUAUUUAUGCAGAUGUCUUUGGAAUAUAUACUGUCUUCAAAUCAAUGAUUUUCUGCUACUAUUACUCAAUAUUCAAGUUGGGAAUAUCUUAAAGACUUUAUAGAUUUUAUAGAUGCAAAUGAACAAUGUUCAAUAAUGUGUAGUAAUUUUUAUGGAUUCUUUUUUUCUAAAAUUAUUUAUAGAGAAGAGGAAGAGGUAUUUAGUUGUAGAUUGAUACAUGAAUUCGUAAUGGGGCUUGUUGACUUUGGUAAAAAUAACGAAGUAUGGAUAAAAUUAGACGAUCGUAUUGCUAGAUUUGGUAUGAAAGAAUUUUGUCUUAUCACUGGAUUACCUUGUCAUGAACCGGUUAUGGAGAUUGAUCAUAGCAACAAUCGUCUUAGAAAUCAUUAUUUCAAUGGUAGUCAAAGAAUUAACAUGAAAAUGCUAUUUGAAGUUUUCCAUGAAUGUGAAGACUUAGUAGAUAAAUUUAAGUUGGGAUUAGUUAUGUUGGUGGAAUGUGUUAUAAAACCAGUUGGAAGAAUUAUUGAUUACAAAACUCUUGGUAUGGUCGAGCAUCUUGAUGAAUUUCUUGGAUAUCCUUGGGGUUGAAAAUAAUUUUUUAUUUUGUUAAAUUCACUACAAGAAUCACAAUUGCAAAGAGCAGGAAGAGUGCAACGGAACGAACAAAUAGAUUGUAAGUAUGCAUUACGAGGGUAUCCACUUGCAUUUCAAGUAUUUUAUUAAUAUUUUUUUUCUUUUGUUGACUUCAUUUAUUUGUAAGAGAAAAAUAUUUGUAAUUGCGAUACAGUAUUGGAUUUAUGAGGCAAUUCCAGAAAUUGGAAAAAAAUUUGGACGGCGUCGAUACAAAACAACACAGAGUCCACGAAUGUAUAAGUGAAGUCCUAAUAAACUACUGACUCAAAAAAUGAUUAAGCAUUUUCUAGCUACUCGAGAGGUACGAUUUAUUUUAAUGAAUGUAUAACUACAUUUGUGUUUAAUUAUUUAAAAACAAAAUGAAAAAAAUAUUUUGAUAUUUUAUUAAAAUUACAGAUUCAGGUUAUUUCAAUGUUACAUCCCAUGGAGGAAGAAUUGGUGACAUCUUGGUAUAUAAAUCUUUCACUACCAGCUGAUAAUGAACAUCGUGUAUUAGAUGACAUUGUCGGUGGAGAAUUAGACAAUGUGGCACAACAAAUCCCAGAGGAUACUUUUGAGCAAGAAAGGGAUAAUAUAUAUGUGACAGAGACGACCAUUCCUAGUACGUCAAGAACUUCACUAGUAGCGGGGCCUAAUUUUGGAUCUAGCACCUCUAAUUAUGUAACUGAAGACAGAUGAUAGAACUACUUGGUGUCCAGAAGCAAGACAUAAUAAAAGAGGUGUUUGAUAUUUAUGGCAACUUGAGAACAGAAGUUUAUGAUAAUCAAAGACAGUUGUUCGAACAAUACCAAAAAUGAUAGGAGGAUUAUAUGCAAUCUACUAUGUGUUCCUACAUGGAUAACUCAUUAUCAAGUUUUUUUAACACACAUUUGGAGAAAGAGCAACAAUUAUUCCAACAACAACAAAAAUGACAAGAAGACCAUUAUCAGACCAUGCACUCUUAUGUAGAUACCAGUUUAAAUUCCAUGCGAUAUUAUGUGGAUGAACAAAAUAAGAAUACGCUGCAAAAAUUAUCUGAAUGGAAAUCAGACAUGGAAGCCAUUAUUAGUUGUAUGCAAGAAGACAUUCCUAUUGGUACAUGUCCAAUUCCCGAUGAUCAACCGAAGGAUGCAUCAACGGCUCAAUAAGUCGAAAGUUUUGAAACAUCACAACGAGAAAAGAAAAAAAAAGAAAAACAAAUACAAUCUUCGUCGUCUAAAAGACAUCCUUUGGAAGAUUAUUCUAUGAAAAAUACUCGACUCUUAGAAACUGGAUAGCGGAGAACGAAUCAAGGUUAGAAAUAUGAUUUUUUAUUAUUGGUUUAAAUACUACAAUUUUAUUUUGAUUUAUUCAACUCUAAUUUUAAUUAUGCUAUGUAGUACAUAUUUGGAAAAUGCCAUUGGGAACGUCUAUGGAAGAUAUUGGUUGAAAACUUUAUUGAAUAGAACAAAAG